This 126-nucleotide small RNA is filed under the name human gut metagenome. RNAcentral describes it as "Ribosomal protein L10 leader". It matches the Rfam family "Ribosomal protein L10 leader". Rfam says of the family: This family is a putative r-protein leader autoregulatory structure found in B. subtilis and other low-GC Gram-positive bacteria. The record is from RNAcentral.
UUAUGAAAGAUGACUGCCGAAGACAGCAGGUGCCGAAAGGCAUAAGGAGAAAACGCCUGCCGAGGAGUAAAGAUUUCUGAUAAAAGAAAUGUACCUCUCUGUCUUCCAGAGAGGUUUUUUAUUUUG